AGACCGGUCUACUGGUCGUGCUUUUGUACGUACUGGUUUUAUUGGUUUCUCCUUUCUGACGAACUAUAAUGCCAUUAAUUUGGUGUUAUAGGGAAUCAGGACUGUUACUUUGAAAAAUUAGAGUGUUUAAAGCAGGCUCACGCUUGAAUACAUUAGCAUGGAAUAACGGAAUAGGACGUUUGAUUUUAUUUUGUUGGUUUCUAGGAUCGACGUAAUGAUUAAUAG
RNAcentral lists this ribosomal RNA (225 nucleotides) under uncultured Glomeromycotina. Its description in RNAcentral is "partial small subunit ribosomal RNA". The stretch from base 46 to 225 matches the Rfam family "Eukaryotic small subunit ribosomal RNA", at positions 693 to 875 of the family's 1831-position model. Lineage: Eukaryota; Fungi; Glomeromycota. The record is from RNAcentral.